This 253-nucleotide ribosomal RNA is filed under the name uncultured bacterium. Its description in RNAcentral is "partial 16S ribosomal RNA". It matches the Rfam family "Bacterial small subunit ribosomal RNA", at positions 524 to 776 of the family's 1533-position model. The record is from RNAcentral.
UACAGAGGGGGCAAGCGUUGUUCGGAAUUACUGGGCGUAAAGGGCGCGUAGGCGGCCUGUUAAGUCGAACGUGAAAUCCCCGGGCUCAACCCGGGAACUGCGUCCGAUACUGGCAGGCUUGAAUCCGGGAGAGGGAUGUGGAAUUCCAGGUGUAGCGGUGAAAUGCGUAGAUAUCUGGAGGAACACCGGUGGCGAAGGCGGCAUCCUGGACCGAUAUUGACACUGAGGAGCGAAAGCCAGGGGAGCAAACGGG